UACGUAGGGUGCGAGCGUUGUCCGGAAUUACUGGGCGUAAAGAGCUCGUAGGUGGUUUGUCGCGUUGUUCGUGAAAACUCACAGCUUAACUGUGGGCGUGCGGGCGAUACGGGCAGACUGGAGUACUGCAGGGGAGACUGGAAUUCCUGGUGUAGCGGUGAAAUGCGCAGAUAUCGGGAGGAACACCGGUGGCGAAGGCGGUUCUCUGGGCCUU
RNAcentral lists this ribosomal RNA (214 nucleotides) under uncultured bacterium. Its description in RNAcentral is "partial 16S ribosomal RNA". It matches the Rfam family "Bacterial small subunit ribosomal RNA", at positions 524 to 737 of the family's 1533-position model. The record is from RNAcentral.